CACCACCCGCCAUCCGCACAACUCUCACCGCUAUCAUUCUUAACCACAUACAACAUUCAUCCACCUCAACUACCACAACUAACCACCCCAUCACCAUCAACAACCAUAAUCGACACUCCCCAUCAUUAUAAACUACCACCAUCCACCACCACCUUCCUCAAUCACAACCACCACCACCACCACCACUUACCACCACCAUCCUAAAUCAUAAUUGUCGCCACUACUAAUCACCACUAGCUACUACCCUGAAACACCGCCAUCAAC
Molecule: long non-coding RNA, 264 nt
Filed under: Nicotiana benthamiana
Lineage: Eukaryota; Viridiplantae; Streptophyta; Magnoliopsida; Solanales; Solanaceae
Description: long non-coding RNA (NBEN_LNC012886)
Source: RNAcentral